UACGUAGGGGGCUAGCGUUGUCCGGAAUCAUUGGGCGUAAAGCGCGUGUAGGCGGUCCGGUAAGUCCGCUGUGAAAGUCGGGGGCUCAACCCUCGGAUGCCGGUGGAUACUGUCGGGCUUGAGUACGGAAGAGGCGAGUGGAAUUCCUGGUGUAGCGGUGAAAUGCGUAGAUAUCGGGAGGAAUACCGGUGGCGAAGGCGGCAUCCUGGACCGGCAUUGACGCUGAGGAGCGAAAGCCAGGGGAGCAAACGGG
This 253-nucleotide ribosomal RNA is filed under the name uncultured bacterium. Its description in RNAcentral is "partial 16S ribosomal RNA". It matches the Rfam family "Bacterial small subunit ribosomal RNA", at positions 524 to 776 of the family's 1533-position model. The record is from RNAcentral.